Non-coding RNA from Salmo salar (Atlantic salmon), 640 nucleotides. The record is from the annotation of a RefSeq genome assembly. NCBI's taxonomy places the organism in Eukaryota, Metazoa, Chordata, Actinopteri, Salmoniformes, Salmonidae.
AUGUCUGUCAGUUGAUGGUGAUAUACAGGCUGAGAUGGACAUGGAAGAGAGAGAGAGGAUCUCUACCUCUUACUGUAACUCACAGUCACUCUCAGUGUGUUCUGUAUAACCAUGGUACUCUGUCUAAUCAUCUGGUUGGUUCUUGUUGUAUUCUGCUUCGAUUGUACAGGAGACAAUGUGAAACAGCAACCAGGAGUUGUGAUUGUUACAGAAGGAGGACUGGUAACACUGAGUUGUCAAUAUAACACCAGUGCUAAUAAUGCAUAUCUAUAUUGGUACAAACAAGAAGCAAAUGACUUCCCUAAACAUAUGCUGAGCCGUUAUUCAUUUGGAUCUGGAGACAACGCUGCAGGGUUCAAGGAGAGAUUUGAUGCCCGUCUCGAUGCAGACUCAAAAUCUGUCCCCAUGACGAUCCAGAGGGUGCAGCUGUCUGACUCUGCUGUGUACUACUGUGCCCUGCAGCCCACUGUGAGAGGAAACCUGUGCACACUGUACAAAAACCUGGAGAAAAAAACUGACAUCCCCUAGACAUCCCCUCAUUUUUUAUUUCAUCAUUACUUUGUGUAGACAAAAAACACACACUGAAAAUGAACAAUGAACGAUUUUCAAUGAACAAUAAAACACAAAUGUUAAAAAUGUU